Molecule: long non-coding RNA, 1075 nt
Organism: Myotis davidii
Lineage: Eukaryota; Metazoa; Chordata; Mammalia; Chiroptera; Vespertilionidae
Exons: 2
Source: RefSeq, a predicted model, not a curated record
GCAGCUCCCAGCUCGCCGCCCCCAGCCCCCCACCUCCGCGGCUAGUCCCCUCCCUCGAUUUCGAUCCGAAGGGUAGCUGGACUUUUAUUCUACGUUUGCUAUCUGCCGCCUCCCUCUUUUUUCCCCUCCUGUCGUCCUUCCUUUUCCCAGCUCGAAAAUAAACUGAAACCUUUUGCAGGAGGGUGCGUGUGAGGAACAGAUGGAGGUGGCGUUCAAACGGAGCACCGGCGGACUCUGGACCACAGCCGGACUGUCAACACCAGGGGUGCACAGGGGCCUCGAACACCCAAUAUUCUCUCCUCCUCAGUAAUUGAAAUCUCUCGCGGGGCGGCCGCCAGGAAUCGACGGGAUUUCUCUGGCUGCGGUUUGCACUGCCUCUAUCCGAAUAAAUCCAGCUCGCUGCCAACGGGCAGGGAACGCCUCCUGGUUCUCCUGUACGCAGACGCAUCGGCCUGGAACGCGACCCACCGUGGCCUCUCGUGCUCGUGAGGCGGCAGGUGGGGCCUUCCAGGGAGAUUGGACGAUCAGCGCCCUGGGGCCGAGGGGCCCCUUGCUGCCCCGCUGUGCCUAGCAGCCCCCACUUCUGGUGGAUGCUUCAGGAACCCACCAGUCCGAGCCCGAGCCCGCCCGCGGCGAAAACUGAAAGCAAAUUCGGCGGGAGAGGAAGCCCGAACUUUCUUCCAUGCAAGUUUGCAGCGGAGAAUUGGCGGAGGCUUUGGGAGGUCAGCGCGACAGCGUGUUGCGAGAAGGUGGGGCUGUAGGCGAGGAGGGCCAGGGGCAGCCUGCAGAGCGCGGGCCCGGGCGAAACGCUAGGGAAGGUGCCUCUCCUCCUUGAUGUCUCGCCAGCUCCUUGGCCGGUCUGUAAAAACAGUUCCCAGGGUGCCGCGGGCGUCUAGGAUGUGUUCGCGGGGACUGCACCGGGGAGGAGCUGGCUUUGUGAAAGUUGCAGGAAGAGCUUUCGGAGAAGCGUCCGCCCAGCCGGGCGCAGGAAAGCUUGGGACCAGUUAGCCUUACCCCGGGCGAAACGGUCAGAAACCCUCUUGGGGAAGGGGGUGGGGGGAGUCCAUCGGUGGGG